Molecule: ribosomal RNA, 497 nt
Filed under: uncultured bacterium
Lineage: Bacteria
Description: partial 16S ribosomal RNA
Rfam family: Bacterial small subunit ribosomal RNA
Source: RNAcentral
GAUGAACGCUGGCGGCGUGCCUAAUACAUGCAAGUCGAGCGAACAGACGAGGCGCUUGCUCCUCUGACGUUAGCGGCGGACGGGUGAGUAACACGUGGAUAACCUACCUAUAAGACUGGGAUAACUUCGGGAAACCGGAGCUAAUACCGGAUAAUAUAUUGAACCGCAUGGUUCAAUAGUGAAAUACGGUUUUGCUGUCACUUAUAGAUGGAUCCGCGCCGCAUUAGCUAGUUGGUAAGGUAACGGCUUACCAAGGCAACGAUGCGUAGCCGACCUGAGAGAGUGAUCGGCCACACUGGAACUGAGACACGGUCCAGACUCCUACGGGAGGCAGCAGUAGGGAAUCUUCCGCAAUGGGCGAAAGCCUGACGGAGCAACGCCGCGUGAGUGAUGAAGGUCUUCGGAUCGUAAAACUCUGUUAUUAGGGAAGAACAAAUGUGUAAGUAACUAUGCACGUCUUGACGGUACCUAAUCAGAAAGCCACGGCUAACUACGUG